CUCUAAGGAGUGGAGCCCAUCACCGCCAUCGUUGUUCCGCUACUAGAAGGUAUUCCACUGUUACGAGUUGUUCCACUGCUAGCAUAGAGUGACUUUAGCAGGCGUAGUGUCAUCAUGCCGAUGUAAUCCUUUGUAAUAUCCGAACCCUUGUACCCUGAUUAAUUGUAACAAAAAGCUGAUUUGUUCUAUGCUAAGAGUGUCAUAUUCGAGAAGACUUGAUCUCUAGGCUAGAAUAUGGACGUUCCGGUUCCUCUGAUCCGGGGUGCCACAACGCUUGAUAUCAGAGCAGGUUCGGCUGUAGGACGCCCUACUCUGCGCGAGCGUUAGAAACCGAUAGUAUAGAAUGUAGUCGGUUUACUGCAUUUGGUUGUUGCAUAGCAUGCAUAUGGACUUAUUAUCUUGUCGCUAACAAUUGAUCUUGUGAGUGUAGGUGGCAUUGGUUUUGAUCCACUACCUGCACCCUCCAGUUUUAUAUACCUGCUCUUUGGUGUUUGGUGUUUGGUGCCGAUCACCGGUGAUGAAGAUAUGAUAUGUCCAUUUUCCCUUGAAGGAAAGGGCAUGCGUUUGACUUUCUCGUAAAAUUAUCUUAUCCUUUUAGUCAUGUAACGUCGGUGUUUAUAUGCCUUCUAACAAAAUCUUUAUUUUAUUAUUAUGAAACACAUAUUA
RNAcentral lists this long non-coding RNA (666 nucleotides) under Hordeum vulgare. RNAcentral's name for it is "long non-coding RNA (HVUL_LNC006382)". The record is from RNAcentral. Lineage: Eukaryota; Viridiplantae; Streptophyta; Magnoliopsida; Poales; Poaceae.